UGUAAGCGUAUACCAAAGUUGUUGCAGUUAAAGCGCUCGUAGUCGGAAUUUGGCAGUUCCGGAUGUGUGCACGUCGUGUGCGCACUUCGCGGGGAUUGCUUUUGUGGUCUUGCGUAGGAUGAGGCACUUUUAUUAGUGAACGUCCUCACGCAACCACUUUUUACUGUGAGAAAAUCAGAGUGCUCAAAGCAGGCAUUUGCCGUGAAUGUAUUAGCAUGGAAUAAUAGAAUAGGACUCGGUUCUAUUUUGUUGGUUUGUUGGGACUGAGUAAUGAUUAAGAGGGACAGUUGGGGGCAUUUGUAUUUCGGCGCUAGAGGUGAAAUUCUUAGAUUGCCGAAAGACAAACUGCUGCGAAAGCGUCUGCCAAGGAUGUUUUCAUUGA
Molecule: ribosomal RNA, 382 nt
Filed under: uncultured eukaryote
Lineage: Eukaryota
Description: partial 18S ribosomal RNA
Rfam family: Eukaryotic small subunit ribosomal RNA
Source: RNAcentral